AUUUCACACCAUGCAUGAGCAGCACGUGACACUCGUUCCCACAAGAGACAAAGGAAGUACACCUGUCAGGAAACUCGCAAUCACUUGUGCAGCUGAGCAAGGGACACGCUUCCAAGUUCCAGAGACCGAGAACAGACAAAACCCGGUUCGACUACCAAGUAACCUUCUUCGAUUUUUACUACGCGUUGAGGAAACGCCAAUCCGAAACACACAGACGAGCCUUGUCCCUCAACCAAGAAAGAGACAGCGGCAAUGCUAUUGGUCAGUGGUCACGUGUUACUGACGUCAUAGCCUCCGCCUCGAUGACGCUUGGGGCACAGCAUUGUGACUUUAACUAUCUGAUUGAUGAUGUGUUUUAACAGUGGGUCCACAUAAUAUACAA
Molecule: long non-coding RNA, 382 nt
Organism: Haliotis rubra (blacklip abalone)
Lineage: Eukaryota; Metazoa; Mollusca; Gastropoda; Lepetellida; Haliotidae
Exons: 2
Source: RefSeq, a predicted model, not a curated record